Xylaria telfairii is the source of this 111-nucleotide non-coding RNA. Lineage: Eukaryota; Fungi; Ascomycota; Sordariomycetes; Xylariales; Xylariaceae. The record is from the annotation of a GenBank genome assembly.
GGCAAGAUGGCCGAGCGGUUAUGGCGGUAGGUUCAAGGCAUAAACCUUACCUGUACUACAGGAAGCAUUCUACUGGGGAAACCCGCGUGGGUUCGAAUCCCACUCUUGUCA